RNAcentral lists this ribosomal RNA (305 nucleotides) under uncultured bacterium. Its description in RNAcentral is "bacterial SSU rRNA". It matches the Rfam family "Bacterial small subunit ribosomal RNA", at positions 333 to 654 of the family's 1533-position model. The record is from RNAcentral.
UGAGGCCUACGGGGCGAAGCAGUGGGGGAUAUUGCACAAUGGGGGAAACCCUGAUGCAGCGACGCCGCGUGAGUGAAGAAGUAUUUAGGUAUGUAAAGCUCUAUCAGCAGGGAAGAAAAAAGACGGUACCUGACUAAGAAGCCCCGGCUAACUACGUGCCAGCAGCCGCGGUAAUACGUAGGGGGCAAGCGUUAUCCGGAUUUACUGGGUGUAAAGGGAGCGUAGACGGCAAUACAAGUCGGAAGUGAAAUACCCGGGCUCAACAUGGGAACUGCUUUGGAAAGUGUAUGGCUGGAGUGCUGGAG